GUGGUAACACACAGUGGAGGACCGAACCAGUUGACGUUGAAAAGUCUUUGGAUGAAUUGUGGGUAGGGGUGAAAGGCCAAUCAAACUUGGAAAUAGCUCGUACUCCCCGAAAUGCAUUUAGGUGCAGCCUUAUUUUAGUUUAGCAGAGGUAGAGCUACUGAUAGGACGCGAGGGCUUCAUCGCCUAUCAACUCCUGAUAAACUCCGAAUGCUGCUAAAUGAUGAAUAGGAGUGAGGGCAUGGGUGCUAAGGUCCAUGUCCGAAAGGGAAAGAACCCGGACCAUCAGCUAAGGUCCCCAAAUGUAUGUUAAGUUGACCAAACGCGGUUUUACUGCUUAGACAGCUAGGAUGUUGGCU
This 356-nucleotide ribosomal RNA is filed under the name Carboxylicivirga sp. M1479. RNAcentral describes it as "Bacterial large subunit ribosomal RNA". It matches the Rfam family "Bacterial large subunit ribosomal RNA", at positions 753 to 1106 of the family's 2925-position model. The record is from Rfam by way of RNAcentral. Lineage: Bacteria; Pseudomonadati; Bacteroidota; Bacteroidia; Marinilabiliales; Marinilabiliaceae.